GCUCCUAUCGUCUAACGGCCAGGACACCUGAUUGUCGAUCAGGAAAUCGGGGUUCGAUUCCCCGUGGGAGCGCCA
RNAcentral lists this transfer RNA (75 nucleotides) under Gemmatimonadota bacterium. RNAcentral describes it as "Gemmatimonadetes bacterium tRNA-Asp". It matches the Rfam family "tRNA". Rfam says of the family: Transfer RNA (tRNA) molecules are approximately 80 nucleotides in length. Their secondary structure includes four short double-helical elements and three loops (D, anti-codon, and T loops). Further hydrogen bonds mediate the characteristic L-shaped molecular structure. tRNAs have two regions of fundamental functional importance: the anti-codon, which is responsible for specific mRNA codon recognition, and the 3' end, to which the tRNAs corresponding amino acid is attached (by aminoacyl-tRNA synthetases). tRNAs cope with the degeneracy of the genetic code in two manners: having more than one tRNA (with a specific anti-codon) for a particular amino acid; and 'wobble' base-pairing, i.e. permitting non-standard base-pairing at the 3rd anti-codon position. The record is from RNAcentral. Lineage: Bacteria; Pseudomonadati; Gemmatimonadota.